This 1062-nucleotide long non-coding RNA is filed under the name Medicago truncatula (barrel medic). RNAcentral's name for it is "lncRNA gene27330". Lineage: Eukaryota; Viridiplantae; Streptophyta; Magnoliopsida; Fabales; Fabaceae. The record is from RNAcentral.
GUCCACGCCUAAUUAAUAAACAAUCUCCUUCAACAGAUUAAAUUUUGCCAAAUGCUCAAUCUCAUCAAUGUUAUUAAGAUCAAAUCUCUCUAGUACAUGAAUAUGUCGAUCGCGUGCUAUAUGUAGCGAAUCAUCAUUUCUCUUGCUAGAUUCAGCAUUAUUCAUUUUAAAAUUCACACACACGCAUAUACAGAAGUAUGUUGAAGAUCAUGCUCAAAUUUUUGCCAAGUACUUAGAAUAAACUUGAAUGUGAAUGUGUCCCUCUUGUUGCACAGAGUUGGCUCUUUUGAAUGUGAACUGAAAACAUCCAAUAAUCAAGUGCUAAUUAACUGGGGUUAACAGUAACCCGUGUCCUUUUGCUUUUACAUACUUUUUCUUUGAUACAAUACCAAGAACCGUUGUGAAUUACAACAACUCUUUUAAUCACUAAAUACAAUAUUAUAUUUAGACAUACAUGAAUUAAUUUGUCAAGUUAAAUUUACUUUACACUUUCAAACCAGAAGUGUAAGUUACACCGGUGGAAGGUAACCAAAGAUUCCCCUCAAUAAAUUGAGCCACAGUGAAUUUAGUAGCCUCACUCGAAUCAUUCAAUACAUGGUAUCCUGACCAUUUCACCCGGUUAGCUACCCCGGCACCCGGUCCAGAGUUCAUGUAUUCAGCGUAGUACAAUGUGUUCAAAGCAAAAUUACCGUUCCACUCUAACCACCCUUCUGGCCUUAUUGCGUCACUCAUGUAGGAUUGCAUAAAAAUUGUUCGCGAAUAAGUCUUCCAGGGUCUACCAAGGUAUGUUGGGAUGGUUGUGACCGAUGGUAGAAGGUCAGAAUCUGCGGAAAUGUUGCAAAAUUGGAAGGAGAAACCAGUUGGUUGGUUCGGGUCUUUUCGUCCUUGAGCAGUAACAGUGUUCUUUUGUUUAGGCAUCCCUUUCUUGGCUAGUAUUUGACAGUUUUGGAACACAGCCGUGGCGUCUCCAAAGAUGAAAUCCACAGUACCACUAAUUUUGCAUUCACGGUAGAACUGACGCAUGGUGUGAGUAUAUAGGCUAUCUUGAUAACCGAAUAUCCC